GAUGAACGCUGGCGGCGUGCCUAACACAUGCAAGUCGAACGGAGAUUUGACGCUGCAGAGACUUCGGUCAAAKCUUGUUAAAUCUUAGUGGCGGACGGGUGAGUAACGCGUGGGCAACCUGCCUCGUACUGGGGGAUAACAGUUGGAAACGACUGUUAAUACCGCAUAAGCGCACGGUAUCGCAUGAUACAGUGUGAAAAACUCCGGUGGUACGAGAUGGGCCCGCGUCAGAUUAGCCAGUUGGCGGGGUAACGGCCCACCAAAGCGACGAUCUGUAGCCGGACUGAGAGGUCGGACGGCCACAUUGGGACUGAGACACGGCCCAAACUCCUACGGGAGGCAGCAGUGGGGGAUAUUGCACAAUGGGCGAAAGCCUGAUGCAGCGACGCCGCGUGAGUGAAGAAGUAUUUCGGUAUGUAAAGCUCUAUCAGCAGGGAAGAAAGACUCGUAAGAGAGAUGAC
Molecule: ribosomal RNA, 461 nt
Filed under: bacterium AD3002
Lineage: Bacteria
Description: bacterial SSU rRNA
Rfam family: Bacterial small subunit ribosomal RNA
Source: RNAcentral